GUGGGGAAUAUUCCGCAAUGGACGAAAGUCUGACGGAGCAACGCCGCGUGAGUGAUGAAGGUUUUCGGACUGUAAAGCUCUGUUGUUUAGGACGAAAGUGCCUGUUGCAAAUAGUUACAGGUAUUGACGGUACUGAACGAGGAAGCCACGGCUAACUACGUGCCAGCAGCCGCGGUAAUACGUAGGUGGCAAGCGUUGUCCGGAAUUAUUGGGCGUAAAGAGCAUGUAGGCGGGAAUCUAAGUCUGUUGUGAAAAUGCGGGGCUCAACCCCGUAGUGCGAUGGAAACUGGGUUUCUUGAGUGCAGGAGAGGAAAGGGGAAUUCCCAGUGUAGCGGUGAAAUGCGUAGAUAUUGGGAGGAACACCAGUGGCGAAGGCGCCUUUCUGGACUGUGUCUGACGCUGAGAUGCGAAAGCCAGGGUAGCGAACGGGAUUAGAAACCCUUGUAGUCC
This 450-nucleotide ribosomal RNA is filed under the name uncultured bacterium. RNAcentral describes it as "partial 16S ribosomal RNA". It matches the Rfam family "Bacterial small subunit ribosomal RNA", at positions 354 to 796 of the family's 1533-position model. The record is from RNAcentral.